Molecule: ribosomal RNA, 873 nt
Filed under: uncultured marine bacterium
Lineage: Bacteria
Description: bacterial SSU rRNA
Rfam family: Bacterial small subunit ribosomal RNA
Source: RNAcentral
CUGGCGGCAGGCCUUAUACAUGCAAGUCGAGCGCAUCCUUCGGGAUGAGCGGCGGACGGGUGAGUAACGCGUGGGAAUGUGCCCUUCUCUACGGAAUAGCCACUGGAAACGGUGAGUAAUACCGUAUACGCCCUUAGGGGGAAAGAUUUAUCGGAGAAGGAUCAGCCCGCGUUAGAUUAGGUAGUUGGUGGGGUAACGGCCUACCAAGCCUACGAUCUAUAGCUGGUUUUAGAGGAUGAUCAGCCACACUGGGACUGAGACACGGCCCAGACUCCUACGGGAGGCAGCAGUAGGGAAUCUUGGACAAUGGGGGAAACCCUGAUCCAGCCAUGCCGCGUGAGUGAAGAAGGCCUUAGGGUCGUAAAGCUCUUUCGCCUGUGAUGAUAAUGACAGUAGCAGGUAAAGAAACCCCGGCUAACUCCGUGCCAGCAGCCGCGGUAAUACGGAGGGGGUUAGCGUUGUUCGGAAUUACUGGGCGUAAAGCGCGCGUAGGCGGAUUGGAAAGUUGGGGGUGAAAUCCCGGGGCUCAACCCCGGAACUGCCUCCAAAACUGCCAGUCUAGAGUUCGAGAGAGGUGAGUGGAACUCCAAGUGUAGAGGUGAAAUUCGUAGAUAUUUGGAAGAACACCAGUGGCGAAGGCGGCUCACUGGCUCGAUACUGACGCUGAGGUGCGAAAGUGUGGGGAGCAAACAGGAUUAGAUACCCUGGUAGUCCACACCGUAAACGAUGAAUGCCAGUCGUCGGGUAGUAUACUAUUCGGUGACACACCUAACGGAUUAAGCAUUCCGCCUGGGGAGUACGGUCGCAGAUUAAAAACUCAAAGGAAUUGACGGGGGCCCGCACAAGCGGUGGAGCAUGUGGUUUAAUUCGAAG